This 479-nucleotide ribosomal RNA is filed under the name uncultured anaerobic ammonium-oxidizing bacterium. RNAcentral's name for it is "bacterial SSU rRNA". It matches the Rfam family "Bacterial small subunit ribosomal RNA", at positions 364 to 833 of the family's 1533-position model. The record is from RNAcentral.
UUUCGCAAUGCCCGAAAGGGUGACGAAGCGACGCCGCGUGAGUGAGGAAGGCCUUCGGGUUGUAAAGCUCUGUCAGGAGUUAAGAAAUAUAAGUGUGUUAAUACCACAUUUAUUUGACGAAGGCUCCAGAGGAAGCCACGGCUAACUCUGUGCCAGCAGCCGCGGUAAUACAGAGGUGGCAAGCGUUGUUCGGAAUUAUUGGGCGUAAAGAGCACGUAGGUGGGUUUGUAAGUCAGAUGUGAAAGCCUUCUGUUCAACGGAAGAAUUGCAUCUGAAACUGCGAGUCUUGAGUGUAGGAGGGGAGAAUGGAACUUCUGGUGGAGCGGUGAAAUGCGUAGAUAUCAGAAGGAACGCCGGCGGCGAAAGCGAUUCUCUGGCCCAUUACUGACACUCAGUGUGCGAAAGCUAGGGGAGCAAACGGGAUUAGAUACCCCGGUAGUCCUAGCUGUAAGCGAUGGGCACUAAGUAGAGGGGUUUUA